GGAAGGCAUGCGCAUCCGGUGGUGCGGCUGGGCUUCAAACCCAGUGGGGGGCGUCAAUCGUUCCCCGGUAGGUUCGACUCCUGCUACCUUCCGCCA
RNAcentral lists this transfer RNA (96 nucleotides) under Rudaea sp. RNAcentral's name for it is "tRNA-Sec". It matches the Rfam family "Selenocysteine transfer RNA". Lineage: Bacteria; Pseudomonadati; Pseudomonadota; Gammaproteobacteria; Lysobacterales; Rhodanobacteraceae. The record is from RNAcentral.